This is a long non-coding RNA of Oncorhynchus nerka (sockeye salmon), 1630 nucleotides long. RefSeq lists it as uncharacterized. The transcript is spliced from 2 exons. Lineage: Eukaryota; Metazoa; Chordata; Actinopteri; Salmoniformes; Salmonidae. The record is from RefSeq and is a predicted model, not a curated record.
UUUGUUCAUCACGUUUGGCUAAGAAAACCCCCAGAAAAUUCAGUCAUUACAACGGCAAACUUUUUUUUCCAAAUUAACUCCAUAAUAUCGACAGAAACAUGGCAAACGUUGUUUAGAAUCCAUCCUCAAGGUGUUUUUCACAUAUCUAUUCGAUGAUAAAUCAUUCGAGGCAGUUUGGUUUCUCCUCUGAAGCAAAUGGAAAAAUACACGCAGCUGGAGAUUACGCAAUAAUUUCGAAGGAGGACACCAAGCGAGCACCUGGUAAAUGUAGUCUCUUAUGGUCAAUCUUCCAAUGAUAUACCUACAAAUACGUCACAAUGCUGCAGACACCUUGGGGAAACGACAGAAAGUGUAGGCUCAUUCCUUGCGCAUUCACAGCCAUAUAAGGAGACAUUGGAACAAAGCGCAUUCAAAAUCUGGGGCAUUUCCUGUUUGAAAUUUCAUCUUGGCUUCACCUGUAGCAUCAGUUCUGUGGCACUCACAGAUAAUAUCUUUGCAGUUUUGGAAACGUCAGAGUGUUUUCUUUCCAAAGCUGUCAAUUAUAUGCAUAGUCGAGCAUCUUUUCGUGACAAAAUAUCUUGUUUAAAACGGGAACGUUUUUGUAUCCAAAAAUUAAAAGAGCGCCCCCUAUAUCGAAGAAGUUAACUAAGUCAUAGGCCCACCCCAAGAGCACAGACAUUGAACUGGCGUCAUGGGACAGCCCUUUCCUACUGUUCUGGAUAUAACCCCACCUUGGGAAUUUCCCUUCAGACCAAGCUACCUCGAUUACCGAGAGGGCUAAGGUUUGAGUAGAGACCAUGCAUUCCUUGUUGCUGAAUUCUUAACCAUACCACAUGGUUAAACUCUGAGACUAUCGAUACCGACAGAAUAAGAGCAACUCUUUGAUACUAAUUAAUUGUCUGCAGCUAGGAAUUCUGUACCAUUGAAUGCGAAGACCUACAACCGCCGAAACAUCUAUCUAUAAGAACAUUUCUGAAUGUUACUCUGAAGUAUCUAUUCUAACCAAAGACUCCAGGGACGCAGAGAAUCUCGGAUGAACUCUCCAACAGAAAAGGACGAUUCCAACAGAGACCACGACGACACGCUGGGACCCCCAGGUAGACCAUGGCCAGAGCUGAGCUGAUACUGAAUGGGGAGAUGAAGAUAUUCCCUGUGUUGGUCUGACCCAGAGUGUGGUACAGCUCCAAGGCAAAGGCUGUGUUAGAGCUGCUGAGAGAUGCCAUGGCUGAUGACUGGUCUGCCGGAGAACGGACGAAAGCAAUAUUUGACAUAUGCAGUGGUGUAAAAGUACUUAGGUAAAAAUACUUUAAAAUACCCCAAAAAACUACAUAAGAAGUAUCUGUACUUCACUAUUUACAUUUUUGACUACUUUUACAUUCCUUAAGAAAAUAGGGUACUUUUUUACUCCAUACAUUUUCCCUGGCACCCAAAGGUACUCAUUACAUUUUGAAUGCUUAGCAGGACAGGGAAAUAAUCUAAUUCACACACUUAUCAACAAAACAUUCCUGGUCAUCCCUACUGCCUCUGUUCUGACGGACUCACUUAACACAUGAUUCAUUUAUAAAUUAUGUCUGAAUGUUGGAGUGUGCCCAUGGCUAUCAGUAAAUAAAUAAAAAAACAACUAAAUGGU